This 561-nucleotide ribosomal RNA is filed under the name Hypocreales sp. A560. RNAcentral's name for it is "SSU rRNA". It matches the Rfam family "Bacterial small subunit ribosomal RNA", at positions 485 to 1049 of the family's 1533-position model. The record is from RNAcentral. Lineage: Eukaryota; Fungi; Ascomycota; Sordariomycetes; Hypocreales.
AUCGUGUCUUGACUAAUUACGUGCCAGCAGUCGCGGUAAUACGUAAGAGACUAGUGUUAUUCAUCUUAAUUAGGUUUAAAGGGUACCUAGACGGUCAAUAUAGCUUCUAGAAUGUUAGUACUUGACUAGAGUUUUAUGUAAGAGGGUAGUACUUGAGGAGGAGAGAUGAAAUUCUAUGAUACCAAAGGGACUCGGUAAAGGCGAAGGCAACCCUCUAUGUAAAAACUGACGUCGAAGGACGAAGGCACAGAGAACAAACAGGAUUAGAUACCCAAGUAGUCUUUGCAGUAAAUGAUGAAUGCCAUAGGUCAGAUUAAGAUUUAAUAACUUAGUUCGAGGGUGCUGCGCAAGCUAAAGCACCCUACAGUAAAAAACUAAAUAUUAAACAUUAUUUGGUCUAUAAAUGAAAGUGUAAGCAUUUCACCUCAAGAGUAAUGUGGCAACGCAGGAACUGAAAUCACUAGACCGUUUCUGACACCAGUAGUGAAGUAUGUUGUUUAAUUCGAUGAUCCACGAAAAACCUUACCACAAUUUGUAUAAUUAUUACAGGAGUUGCACGGC